GUUGUAUGGUUAAGCGACCAAGCGUAUACGGUGGAUGCCUUGGCAGUCAGAGGCGAUGAAGGACGUAGUAACUUGCGAAAAGCGUUGGUGAGCUAGUAACAAGCAUUUGAGCCAGCGAUGUCCGAAUGGGGAAACCCGGCACCAUAAGGUGUCAUCACUAAGUGAAUACAUAGCUUAGUGAGGCGAACGAGGGGAACUGAAACAUCUAAGUACCCUUAGGAAAAGAAAUCAACCGAGAUUCCCCAAGUAGCGGCGAGCGAACGGGGAUUAGCCCUUAAGUCUUUGGGGUGUUAGUGGAAUGUGUUGGAAAGCACAGCGGCACAGGGUGAUAGCCCCGUACACGUAAACUAACCAGAGAUGAAAUCGAGUAAGGCGGCACACGUGAUAUGUUGUCUGAAUAUGGGGGGACCAUCCUCCAAGGCUAAAUACUCCUGACUGACCGAUAGUGAACCAGUACCGUGAGGGAAAGGCGAAAAGAACCCCUGUGAGGGGAGUGAAAUAGAACCUGAAACCGUAUACGUACAAGCAGUGGAAGCGGUUCUUGAGACCGUGACUGCGUACCUUUUGUAUAAUGGGUCAGCGACUUACAUUUAGUAGCGAGGUUAAGCGAAUAGCGGAGCCGUAGGGAAACCGAGUGUUAACUGCGCGUAUAGUUGCUAGGUGUAGACCCGAAACCCGGUGAUCUAGCCAUGGGCAGGUUGAAGGUUGAGUAACAUCAACUGGAGGACCGAACCGACUAAUGUUGAAAAAUUAGCGGAUGACUUGUGGCUGGGGGUG
Molecule: ribosomal RNA, 777 nt
Filed under: Shewanella algae
Lineage: Bacteria; Pseudomonadati; Pseudomonadota; Gammaproteobacteria; Alteromonadales; Shewanellaceae
Description: partial 23S ribosomal RNA
Rfam family: Bacterial large subunit ribosomal RNA
Source: RNAcentral